RNAcentral lists this ribosomal RNA (382 nucleotides) under Mytilus galloprovincialis (Mediterranean mussel). RNAcentral describes it as "partial 16S ribosomal RNA". It matches the Rfam family "Bacterial large subunit ribosomal RNA", at positions 1938 to 2566 of the family's 2925-position model. Lineage: Eukaryota; Metazoa; Mollusca; Bivalvia; Mytilida; Mytilidae. The record is from RNAcentral.
ACUUGUGAGCGUCCUAAGGUAGCGCGAUAAUUUGCUUUUCAAUUGAAGGAUGGUAUGAAAGGGUUAACGAAGAAGGUGCUGUGUCUAAAAAUUCAAUUUAAACUAACUUUAAGGUGAAGAGGCCUUUAUGUAAAAGAAGGACGACAAGACCCUAUGAAGCUUUAUCUUAAUUGGAGCUCUCAGGCUCUUAUACGAUUUUGAUGGGAGAUCAGUAGAAAGAAGUCUUCUACUAUCAUAUUAAUCUUACUAGUAUUUCCUAACUUUAUAUGUGUGGCUAGCUACUCUAGGGAUAACAGCGCAAUUUCUCCCGAAAGAUGGUAUUGGAGGGGAAGAUUGCGACCUCGAUGUUGGCUUUAGAUAUCCUAGAGGCGUAGAAGCUUCU